UUUUUCUUAUUUCUUCUUCUCUUUCUUUUUUUCUUCUGUGCUUCUUCUUUCUUUUUCCUGUCGAGCUCAAUUCGAAGAAUUGAGUUUGUUAUCGUGUGAGAAAUUUAUAGAAGCCUGUUAGUAUGUUGAAUCGAAGGUGCAGAUGUUUGUUUUAUGGUUGGUUUAGCCCGAGAGGAGGAGAACUGGUAUUGUUGUGAAUUGAGCUAGGGUUUCUGGAGAGGAUUGAAUUUGUGAGAGGUUGAGGAUGAAAUCGAGCUUUAGAUGAUGGGUUUUCAUUAUUGAGAACAAGGAAGAAGAAUUAUUCAUUGAAUCGAUGAAUUAUGGUUUCUCAGGAUGAAUAAGAAGAAUUAAUGAGUAGGUUUAAUUGAUUGAGUAUCGAGAUGGGGUUAAUUAGAUGUUAUAGAUUUAUUCUUGAGGAAAUGAAGAGUUGGGGUUUCACGGGAAAGCUCAGGGAAGAUUAAAAAGAAGAAGUUGUUGUUUUAGGAGAUUGAAUUAAGGUUGGGUUUGCUCUGAAUUGAAGUUUAGUUGGAUGUAUUGGGUUAAUGUCAAUUGUGUGAGAAAUUGAAUCAGAAAUUAGGGUUUUUGAGAAUUGAAGAUGGUGAUGAAGGUUGUUGGGUUGUGGUUAGCUUUGAGAUGACUAUUCAGUUGGGUCAAGAGAAUGAAGAAUCUGAUUUCAAUUUGGAUGAGUGGAAUUAUUGGAGGUAACUGUUCUUAUUAGAUAACUUAGUAAUGUUAUUUGAUUUUUCAUUUCUGAGUUUAUAAGUUUGUUAAUUGGAAUAAGAAUUAAGAUGAUACAAGAAUUGGUGGUUGUGUUGAAUUUGAUAGAUGAUUAUUAUGUGAGUUGAGGUUUAGCUGAACUGAAAUGGUUUGGAUGUGAAUCUACAGGGAUGAUUGAUGUUAUUGGUGAAGUGAAAUGGUUAGUUGUGGUUGUAUUAAUAUGGAAUGAAGUUGUGUCUAGUGGUGGUUAGAGUUAUGUUAUUAUAAGGGUAUGUUUUGAUGGAUGUUGUGAUGUGAAGAUAUAGUUUUCGGUGAGCGAAUUGUUGGAUGUUGCUGUAAUGGAUUAAAUGGUGUUGCAGUGCUAAAGUUUGAUUGUGCAGGUGAAAUAAAAUGGAGUUAAGAAAAUGAAAUACAGCUCUUUGGUUGAUUUUGUAAACUCAGGAAGUUGGGUUUGAGGUUGUUGUAAAUGAUAUGGGGUAGCUGUUACUUGGUACUAGUAAAUUAAGGAGGAGGUAUGUGUUAGUGGUGGUUUUGUAAUCUCAAUUAUGUAUUGAAGAAUGGUGGUGAUAUCUGUGUAGUGGUUAUUGCUGAACUAAAGUGGCAAGGAUGUGGAAUUAGAAGUGUUGUUGCUGAAUUAUGUGGGUGGUUUUGUUGAGAAUAGAAUGGCAGGAGUGAAUAUGUUGUUGGAGUUAUGUGAGUUGUUGAAGUAUAUAGAGUUUGUGUUACAAGCUGAGUUGUAGUUGACUUUAGUGAUGAUUAUAGAGUUGCAGUUAGUAGUUGUUGCAGAAGCUUUGAACUGCUGAAUUGCAGUUAGUCGUUAUUAACAACGGUCGAUUCGAAGAAUGAACCAGUGGAUCGUGGAUUUCGAGGUAGGCGUGGCUUGUCAUCAAAAGAGUUUCAGAGACAGAUCAGAGUUGCGCAGCGAAAGCUUUGAGGCGUUUGUUAGAUUACUUUUGCUAUGUUUAUUAUGUUGUAUUUUCUAUUUGCAAACCAUGACUAUUGUACAUGUACCAUUGGAGAGAAGUUUUGUAUAUAUAUAUUUCAAAAGGGGGCUAGUUUUUGGGUUAAGUU
Long non-coding RNA from Papaver somniferum (opium poppy), 1788 nucleotides. RefSeq lists it as uncharacterized. The record is from RefSeq and is a predicted model, not a curated record. Lineage: Eukaryota; Viridiplantae; Streptophyta; Magnoliopsida; Ranunculales; Papaveraceae. The transcript has 3 exons.